Molecule: ribosomal RNA, 2212 nt
Filed under: Enterobacter hormaechei
Lineage: Bacteria; Pseudomonadati; Pseudomonadota; Gammaproteobacteria; Enterobacterales; Enterobacteriaceae
Description: partial 23S ribosomal RNA
Rfam family: Bacterial large subunit ribosomal RNA
Source: RNAcentral
GGUUAAGCGACUAAGCGUACACGGUGGAUGCCCUGGCAGUCAGAGGCGAUGAAGGACGUGCUAAUCUGCGAAAAGCGCCGGCGAGGUGAUAUGAACCUUUGACCCGGCGAUGUCCGAAUGGGGAAACCCAGUGCAAUCCGUUGCACUAUCGUUAACUGAAUACAUAGGUUAACGAGGCGAACCGGGGGAACUGAAACAUCUAAGUACCCCGAGGAAAAGAAAUCAACCGAGAUUCCCCCAGUAGCGGCGAGCGAACGGGGAGCAGCCCGGAGUCUGAAUCAGCUUGUGUGUUAGUGGAACGGUCUGGAAAGUCCGACGGUACAGGGUGAUAGUCCCGUACACGAAAGCACACUUGCUGUGAACUCGAAGAGUAGGGCGGGACACGUGGUAUCCUGUCUGAAUAUGGGGGGACCAUCCUCCAAGGCUAAAUACUCCUGACUGACCGAUAGUGAACCAGUACCGUGAGGGAAAGGCGAAAAGAACCCCGGCGAGGGGAGUGAAAAAGAACCUGAAACCGUGUACGUACAAGCAGUGGGAGCCUCUUUAUGGGGUGACUGCGUACCUUUUGUAUAAUGGGUCAGCGACUUAUAUUCUGUAGCAAGGUUAACCGUAUAGGGGAGCCGAAGGGAAACCGAGUCUUAACUGGGCGUUAAGUUGCAGGGUAUAGACCCGAAACCCGGUGAUCUAGCCAUGGGCAGGUUGAAGGUUGGGUAACACUAACUGGAGGACCGAACCGACUAAUGUUGAAAAAUUAGCGGAUGACCUGUGGCUGGGGGUGAAAGGCCAAUCAAACCGGGAGAUAGCUGGUUCUCCCCGAAAGCUAUUUAGGUAGCGCCUCGUGAACUCAUCUUCGGGGGUAGAGCACUGUUUCGGCUAGGGGGCCAUCCCGGCUUACCAACCCGAUGCAAACUACGAAUACCGAAGAAUGUUAUCACGGGAGACACACGGCGGGUGCUAACGUCCGUCGUGAAGAGGGAAACAACCCAGACCGCCAGCUAAGGUCCCAAAGUCAUGGUUAAGUGGGAAACGAUGUGGGAAGGCACAGACAGCCAGGAUGUUGGCUUAGAAGCAGCCAUCAUUUAAAGAAAGCGUAAUAGCUCACUGGUCGAGUCGGCCUGCGCGGAAGAUGUAACGGGGCUAAACCAUGCACCGAAGCUGCGGCAGCGACGCUUAGGCGUUGUUGGGUAGGGGAGCGUUCUGUAAGCCGUUGAAGGUGUCCUGUGAGGGGUGCUGGAGGUAUCAGAAGUGCGAAUGCUGACAUAAGUAACGAUAAAGCGGGUGAAAAGCCCGCUCGCCGGAAGACCAAGGGUUCCUGUCCAACGUUAAUCGGGGCAGGGUGAGUCGACCCCUAAGGCGAGGCCGAAAGGCGUAGUCGAUGGGAAACAGGUUAAUAUUCCUGUACUUGGUGUUACUGCGAAGGGGGGACGGAGAAGGCUAUGUCAGCCGGGCGACGGUUGUCCCGGUUUAAGCAUGUAGGCGGAGGUUCCAGGUAAAUCCGGUACCUUAUUAACGCUGAGGUGUGAUGACGAGGCACUACGGUGCUGAAGUGAUAAAUGCCCUGCUUCCAGGAAAAGCCUCUAAGCAUCAGGUAACACGAAAUCGUACCCCAAACCGACACAGGUGGUCAGGUAGAGAAUACCAAGGCGCUUGAGAGAACUCGGGUGAAGGAACUAGGCAAAAUGGUGCCGUAACUUCGGGAGAAGGCACGCUGAUAUGUAGGUGAAGUCCCUGCGGACGGAGCUGAAAUCAGUCGAAGAUACCAGCUGGCUGCAACUGUUUAUUAAAAACACAGCACUGUGCAAACACGAAAGUGGACGUAUACGGUGUGACGCCUGCCCGGUGCCGGAAGGUUAAUUGAUGGGGUUAGCGGCAACGCGAAGCUCUUGAUCGAAGCCCCGGUAAACGGCGGCCGUAACUAUAACGGUCCUAAGGUAGCGAAAUUCCUUGUCGGGUAAGUUCCGACCUGCACGAAUGGCGUAAUGAUGGCCAGGCUGUCUCCACCCGAGACUCAGUGAAAUUGAACUCGCUGUGAAGAUGCAGUGUACCCGCGGCAAGACGGAAAGACCCCGUGAACCUUUACUAUAGCUUGACACUGAACACUGGUCCUUGAUGUGUAGGAUAGGUGGGAGGCUUUGAAGCGUGGACGCCAGUCUGCGUGGAGCCAACCUUGAAAUACCACCCUUUAAUGGCUGGUGUUCUAACGUAGACCCGU